CCAUCGUGUACAUCCCCCCACAUCGUGCACACGGGCACUAUCAUCAUCCACCUCUCACGCCACCAUCAUCACCGGCAUGUGCAUCCCCCCACAUCGUGCACACACACGGUUACAGUCAUUAUACACAAUAUCAUUCAUCAUGCACAACACACACAUUUAUAUAUCAUCAUACUACAAUAGUGCAUGAAUCCAUAGCAAUCACAUAUCACAAUAUAAAACCAUUUUGCAAAAGCUUGUUCCCAAGGCACUUGUCUUUAUGAAAAACUUGAUAAUUCAUUCAAAUGGGUGGCAAAUACAUUAUAUU
This 304-nucleotide long non-coding RNA is filed under the name Theobroma cacao (cacao). RNAcentral describes it as "long non-coding RNA (TCAC_LNC006170)". Lineage: Eukaryota; Viridiplantae; Streptophyta; Magnoliopsida; Malvales; Malvaceae. The record is from RNAcentral.